Paramuricea clavata is the source of this 544-nucleotide non-coding RNA. The record is from the annotation of a GenBank genome assembly. NCBI's taxonomy places the organism in Eukaryota, Metazoa, Cnidaria, Anthozoa, Malacalcyonacea, Plexauridae.
GUUGCUCAUUCGCUGUCCUUUUUAAGACACCAGCACGUCCCUGUUAGUAAGUGCUGAUUCACACAGUGCAGCAGUAUUUAUAGAUAUUAAAGGUGUAAAAAGAAAGAUAAUCCAGAUUUGAAGUGCUCUUGUGGAUUCAAUAUUGGGUGAACAGAUUUAAUCUUUUAACAGUAAGAAAGAUUAAAUAAGAUUUUAGGUUUUGAAUGACAUUCACCUUUUUUGUUUCAUUCGAAGCAAAAAUGACCAAAUACUAGCCGUUUGAAAAUUGCUAUUCGAAAUCACGUUUUGCCUGAUACGCUUCACUAAAGCUUGAAACUGAAGUGACUAUAUUUUAAAAGCCCUAACAUGGAAUGAAAUUAACUUGUUGUUGAUAAUAUCAACAAUUAGUUAAAUAAUUUCGUCCCAUGUUAUGGGGCUUUCUAAAUUAAAAUUCAUGAAUUUUAGAUCCAAAUAUAUUUACAGUGUAACAUUUCCAAUAGUUUUCCACGCAAAUUUUCCAACUGUGGAAAAAUAUGUGUCGCAGGAAAUCCACCGCCCUCGCGCC